AACGAACGCUGGCGGCAGGCCUAACACAUGCAAGUCGAACGGACGUAGCAAUGCGUCAGUGGCGGACGGGUGAGUAACACGUGGGAAUAUGCCUUUCGGUUCGGAACAACUCGGGGAAACCCGCGCUAAUUCCGGAUACGCCCUUACGGGGAAGAUUUAUCGCCGAAAGAUUAGCCCGCGUCCGAUUAGCUAGUUGGUGAGGUAAAGGCUCACCAAGGCACCGAUCGGUAGCUGGUUUGAGAGAACGACCAGCCACACUGGGACUGAGACACGGCCCAGACUCCUACGGGGAGGCAGCAGUGGGGAAUCUUGGACAAUGGGCGCAAGCCUGAUCCAGCCAUGCCGCGUGAGUGAUGAAGGCCUUCGGGUU
RNAcentral lists this ribosomal RNA (370 nucleotides) under uncultured bacterium. RNAcentral describes it as "bacterial SSU rRNA". It matches the Rfam family "Bacterial small subunit ribosomal RNA", at positions 29 to 424 of the family's 1533-position model. The record is from RNAcentral.